CCUGUUAAGUCAGAUGUGAAAGCCCGGGGCUUAACCUCGGAAUUGCAUUUGAAACUGGCAGGCUAGAGUCUUGUAGAGGGGGGUAGAAUUUCAGGUGUAGCGGUGAAAUGCGUAGAGAUCUGAAGGAAUACCAGUGGCGAAGGCGGCCCCCUGGACAAAGACUGACGCUCAGAUGCGAAAGCGUGGGGAGCAAACAGGAUUAGAUACCCUGGUAG
RNAcentral lists this ribosomal RNA (215 nucleotides) under uncultured bacterium. RNAcentral's name for it is "partial 16S ribosomal RNA". It matches the Rfam family "Bacterial small subunit ribosomal RNA", at positions 579 to 793 of the family's 1533-position model. The record is from RNAcentral.